GAUGUCACACUAAAGAGGGCAUGCGAUUUUUGUAGUCGAGGACACAGGCUGUUGAAUCUGCACUUUACCUCAACGUGUUUCUCGAUAUUUGACAGCUGCUGAGUCAACAUCCUGUUAGACCUGUUAGGCCACGCUCCCCUAGGUGAUGUCACACUAAAGAGGGCAUGCGAUUUUUGUAGUCGAGGACACAGGCUGUUGAAUCUGCACUUUACCUCAACGUGUUUCUCGAUAUUUGACGGCUGCUGAGUCAACAUCCUGUUAGACCUGUUAGGCCACGCUCCCCUAGGUGAUGUCACACUAAAGAGGGCAUGCGAUUUUUGUAGUCGAGGACACAGGCUGUUGAAUCUGCACUUUACCUCAACGUGUUUCUCGAUAUUUGACGGUAGUGAUCAAAACAUGUCUGAAGAGCCACGCAACAAAAACCUGAAGCAGACAGACCUUCUGAGUCCUAAAAAGGAGAUUAACACAGACAGUGAAAAUGAGGAGUCUUCACAUGCUGGGAUCACUAAUCAGGAAACGAUGGCUCCCACACCAAAGCUAGAAGAGAACUACUCCAAACACCCACAACAGGAAAUGAUGGCUCAAUCAUCAAAGCCAGAAGAGAAAUACUCCAAACACCCACAACAGAGAGCAGAAGAACAAGAACACACUUUCAAAUUUUGUUUCGACUCUGAUCCUGAUCCAGUUGUUGUGGAAUGUAACACAUCCAUGACUGUGCUGGCUGCUCUUGAACAAAAAGAAAUAUUUCAGAAUAACAAGAGUAUUAGAGACACCAAGAAAGAGAUGGUAAUCAAGCGAGCUAAUGGAGCUGCUGUGAAAACAGAUUUCCCAUGCUGUCUUAUUAAAAAGGAUGAGACCUUAACCAUAUUCUUCAUCAAAACGGAAAAGAAAAAGAAAGAGACACAAGCAAUACCUUCUUUACCUAGAACGGACCUAGUCAAGUUCUACAUUAAAACAACAGGAAAGGAGAAAUUGAUGUACAUAAUAAAAAGCAAUGAACUAAGAAACAAAGUUGAUUAUGUAUGUGUUUGUGGAUUAGAAGAAGAACAAACUGAAACUGCUCUAAAGCGUGAUGGACGAUUCAAUGAAAAAAUAUUCCAGAAACUCUGUGUCCUGUCACUAGUGUCUGAAUGUACUGGUAAACAAUCAAGAUAUGAAAUGUCCAACUCUGUUAAGCGUCUUAGAAACAAGAGAUUUGAGAUCAUUGCUAUUAAUGACAAACGGCCUGACUGCCAAAUGAAACUAAACACAAUCAAGACUGAAAAUGCAUCAGAUGUUGAUUAUGAGAAAUAUGAUCUGAGACAACCUACAACCAGCAGUGAACAAGGAACAAUCCAAGAGAGGGAUACAAAAUCACCAGGUCCUCCAUCUACAGGCCAAGUAACUCAGAACCCUUCUGGGGAUUUUGGAGGAUUGUUCUACACUGAGAUUAAAGAGUUUCUGCAGACUUCAUUUGAAAAUAUAAUGAAGAAGCUAAAACAGCGAAAGAACCCCCAGGUUCAGAAGUUCUUCCAAGAAGAUUACGAUAAAGGCAUUCAGUGUUUCACUGAGGUGAACAAAGUGAAGCAGAUCAUGACACUCUCUGACUCUGUGUGUAUGAUUCUAGUUGAUAAUUGUGCCACUGGAACAGGCUUCCUAGCCUUUGACAGAUUCAUCCUUACUAAUGCUCAUGUCAUUAAGGACUUUGUUAAUUGUGACACUCUUAAACUUUCACGGCCUCUGAAAGCUGUAUUUAAUUUUGAGGUUGUAGGAUCUGCGACAAAAGUUCUGUCAGUUAAAGAUGACAUAAUUGCUUGUGGUUUUGAGCUUGAUGAGAGACGCAGAUUCUAUGAUUUCGCACUUCUUGAAUUGGAAGCUACACCUGAUAACUGUCCCCAAUUGUUCAAACGUUAUAUACAUUCCCCUCCUCCAAACUGUGGUGGGAUCUACAUUGUGGGACACCCAGGUUGUGGAGUCAAGAAGAUGGACCCCUGCUUCAUUAUUGAGCCUGAGAAACAACUCCAGAGUAUAAACAAACACAUAUCUGACAAUAUGUCCUGCCCAUAUGUAUCACUGCAAGUCCUGCCGUAUCUGCAUCAGAAUAGGAUAACCUAUGACACUUGUAUGUUUCAUGGAUCUUCUGGCUCCCCGGUGUUUGAUGAACACUGCUAUCUGAUUGGAAUGCAUACUGGUGGCUUUCAUUAUAAAGAUCAAAAUAACACAGAUAGGAGUGUUAUAGAAUAUGCCUAUUCCAUGCAGUCUAUCGUGAAAGGCAUUGUCGAACAUGUCAGGUCAAGGAGACAUGACAUCUUAAAUUUACUUUCUGAGUUUGAUUCAAUUAAAGCACAGUUUAAACUUGAGAAGACUGAAGAUACAACUGGAGCAAU
Danio rerio (zebrafish) is the source of this 2366-nucleotide long non-coding RNA. Lineage: Eukaryota; Metazoa; Chordata; Actinopteri; Cypriniformes; Danionidae. The record is from Ensembl.